UUUUCACAUCCCAUCGAUGUUGUGAUGUUCACGAUCCCUGUUUUAUUUUUCCAAAUUUUUUCCAUCUUUUUACAAACUUGAUCAUUUUCAGUCCGAGCUAAAUCUAAGUUACAAUCUGUAAUCUCUUGCAACUUCAGUCAUUAUUUUUAAUAGCGCUUUAUCGCCCUUAUCAAAAGCCUCGCUUCUCGAGCAACUUAUUUUUCGUUUCAGAGUUACAGUUCUCGAGCUACAGAGCAAGAGUCAACUUGCUGGGUAACCUCCGGAUGCCUCGGCCGCGUUGUUAUUUUGUGCCAUACAAUGACUUCGAGGAUGAUCCAGUUUUGUACCUUGGAUUCUAAUAUUUUUGGUGAUGUAAUUUUAUUUUCUUUUAUAUUUUGUCCCCUUUUUCCGUGCCUUCAGCACCUUAAAUUUCAAUUAUUAAAUUCUGUCCAUUUGAAACGCA
This is a non-coding RNA of Bemisia tabaci, 442 nucleotides long. The record is from RefSeq and is a predicted model, not a curated record. NCBI's taxonomy places the organism in Eukaryota, Metazoa, Arthropoda, Insecta, Hemiptera, Aleyrodidae.